GUAUACGUGGUCAUGUGCAAGCUGAUGAUAUGUAAGUGUGGGGAUGCCUGUACUCUCAUUUUAAAAUGCACAAUUUGUGUUCAUGUAGGCUGUGUAUUUUUCCUUUUUUCUCUGCUGUGCCUGUCUUUAGAAUCCUGUGCUGCGUAUAAAAUUGUGUAUAUAACCCCCAAAACUGCACCAAUUUCAAGAGGACUUAAAAAAUAACAAUUGGCAAACUGAUAAGAAAAUGUGAGGAACUAAGAUAAAGAUUGGAAAAAUGAGAAAGUGGGAGAAACCAGAAUUAACUGAUUUGCCAAUCUCUGUCCAAGGGGAAGGCCUGAGCUCAACAGCCCAGCAUCAGUUUCCCACGCAGAAGGUCCCAGGUUCAGUUCUUGGCAUCUCCAGGUGAGACUGUGAAUGUCCCCCAUCUGAACCCCUGGAGAGCUGCUGCCUGUCAGUGGGACAAUGCUGAGCUAGAGGGAUUGAUUGUCAGACUUAAAUAUAAGGCAGCUCCCUAUGUUUCCAAAGCAGCACCUUGUCAGCCUGCCAGCACUCUCUGACUUAUCCAGAUCCAAGGCUUUGCAGCUGGCGCAUAUUUUAAUGCCAAAUGACUGGCACCAUUGAUGUUGGAACACAUAGUCUCUUGGUGCCCACACUGCUUGCACAUUCAUUUCAGUAUGUCACACUGUGUAACUACUUUUUGCUGUUGUUGCAACUUAAGUUUAUAUCUCCCCAGAGGUAUUUACCCCACUCCCAGAAUUCACACAGAGGAGAAUGUGGGUCCCCUUUGCCAAGCAGCCGUCCGCCUGAUAAAAUUAAGAAGAAAAACAACAGAAAGAGAAGCAGGGAGACCUCCUGUUAAUUUACUGCCCUGAAACAGUCAAUUAGAGACUUGCCAAACUGUCUGGCAUUCGUUCCAAGUCCUUUGAAAUGCCAACCCCCAAAUGAAAGAUGGAGGAGAGGAUAUUGCCUGGCUCUUUCCAAGAAUUGGCCCAAACAGCAACCACAAUGUGUCAACUUGCGAGCUGGGGCUAGUUUUGCUGAUAGCAGAAAUAAACGCCUGUUGUUUGUCAGAAAUUGGGUUCAAUUUUCCCAACAAUAGUGUUGCUUCCCAUGCUACACUAGUCUCACAUGCUACUUCCA
This is a non-coding RNA of Podarcis lilfordi (Lilford's wall lizard), 1122 nucleotides long. Lineage: Eukaryota; Metazoa; Chordata; Lepidosauria; Squamata; Lacertidae. The record is from the annotation of a GenBank genome assembly.